This 564-nucleotide ribosomal RNA is filed under the name uncultured Glomeromycotina. RNAcentral describes it as "SSU rRNA". It matches the Rfam family "Eukaryotic small subunit ribosomal RNA", at positions 548 to 1114 of the family's 1831-position model. The record is from RNAcentral. Lineage: Eukaryota; Fungi; Glomeromycota.
UUGGAGGGCAAGUCUGGUGCCAGCAGCCGCGGUAAUUCCAGCUCCAAUAGCGUAUAUUAAAGUUGUUGCAGUUAAAAAGCUCGUAGUUGAAUUUCGGGAUCAAAUUGUUGGUCGUGCCUCGGUACGCACUGGUAUUAUUGGUUCCUACCUACUGAAGAACCGCGAUGUCAUUAAUUUGGUGUCGUGGGGAAUCAGGACUGUUACUUUGAAAAAAUUAGAGUGUUUAAAGCAGGCUUACGCUUGAAUACAUUAGCAUGGAAUAAUGAAAUAGGACGUUUGAUUCUAUUUUGUUGGUUUCUAGGAUUGACGUAAUGAUUAAUAGGGAUAGUUGGGGGCAUUAGUAUUCAAUUGUCAGAGGUGAAAUUCUUGGAUUUAUUGAAGACUAACUACUGCGAAAGCAUUUGCCAAGGAUGUUUUCAUUAAUCAAGAACGAAAGUUAGGGGAUCGAAGACGAUCAGAUACCGUCGUAGUCUUAACCAUAAACUAUGCCGACUAGGGAUCGGAUGAUGUUAAUUUUUUAAUGACUCAUUCGGCGCCUUACGGGAAACCAAAGUGUUUGGGUUC